AGUAACGCGUGGGUAACCUGCCUCGUACAGGGGAGUAACAGUUAGAAAUGACUGCUAAUACCGCAUGAGCGCACAGUGCUGCAUGGCACAGUGUGAAAAACUCCGGUGGUAUGAGAUGGACCCGCGUCUGAUUAGCUAGUUGGUGGGGUAACGGCCUACCAAGGCGACGAUCAGUAGCCGGCCUGAGAGGGUGAACGGCCACAUUGGGACUGAGACACGGCCCAA
This 225-nucleotide ribosomal RNA is filed under the name uncultured bacterium. RNAcentral's name for it is "partial 16S ribosomal RNA". It matches the Rfam family "Bacterial small subunit ribosomal RNA", at positions 109 to 334 of the family's 1533-position model. The record is from RNAcentral.